AAGUGUGAUGGGUUUAUGGUAAGACCUAGGUUUACCGUUGGUUUUAAGGUGUGCAAUGACUACUUCGACUUACGUAUCCCGUAUGCAAUUUCUACUUGAUUUGUCCCGAUUUAAAGUCCACGAUAAGUUCUCGGCUUAUACGACUUGUCUAGUAGGAAUCAAGUAUCUCUCCAAAGACAAUUUCUACGUCGUCUGGAAGUGAUGACCAAAAUUUCAGAUUUCUUUUAUAUCGCUAUUAUCGGAUGUAUGAGUGACAAAUCCUGCAAAAGGAAGGUUUUUUGUGUUUGUUUAAGACGGCUAAUGUAUUCGUCGGGGCCAAUCGAUGAAUUUGUUAGCU
RNAcentral lists this long non-coding RNA (337 nucleotides) under Brassica napus (rape). RNAcentral describes it as "long non-coding RNA (BNAP_LNC011714)". The record is from RNAcentral. Lineage: Eukaryota; Viridiplantae; Streptophyta; Magnoliopsida; Brassicales; Brassicaceae.